Long non-coding RNA from Tympanuchus pallidicinctus (lesser prairie-chicken), 473 nucleotides. RefSeq lists it as uncharacterized. The record is from RefSeq and is a predicted model, not a curated record. NCBI's taxonomy places the organism in Eukaryota, Metazoa, Chordata, Aves, Galliformes, Phasianidae. The transcript has 3 exons.
AGCCCCAUCCUCACCCCCUGCCCUGGGACUUCUGCCCGCAUCCACUUCCAGCUCAAUACAGCUGGAAGCAAGACAGCAAUGAUUAACUUGGAUUCUUCCCCUGUCUCUGACACGCCUCAGAGCAAAUCACCCCGAUAAAAGACUUCUUUUUCCCCUAAUAAAACAAAACUCGCCCUCAAAUAACAGAUGAUUAAGAAGCAGAGGACGGAAUGGAAAGCUGUGGCAGCACUGGGAUGCUGACUCAGGUGCCUCAGUGUCCCCACCUCCAGGAGUGGAAGAAGGAGCCUACAGAGGUGCUUUCUGCAGGCGUCUGUCCCAGGGACACACAAGCAAAGGACAGAACAGCUCUCGACUGAUGGCAUCCCUGCAUUUCCAGAUGCGCACACACACACCUGUAGGAAAAGACUCAAUCUCUGCCAUGGCUGGAGCACUCUUCAUUUGAAUGAUAACCACGGAUGUGCUGGGGUGCAGGC